Molecule: long non-coding RNA, 886 nt
Filed under: Nicotiana tabacum (common tobacco)
Lineage: Eukaryota; Viridiplantae; Streptophyta; Magnoliopsida; Solanales; Solanaceae
Description: long non-coding RNA (NTAB_LNC012633)
Source: RNAcentral
AAAAAGAUCUUUCAUUUUUCAUUUCUGAGACUCUGAUUUUGUUCCAAAUCCCAGAAUUCUUCUUCUUUUUCUAAAUUCUGUUUGUAGCCAUGGCAGAAGUAGAAGUUAAGAAAGUGGAGAGUGAGAAAGUUGUGGACCCUACUCCCCCUGCAGCUGCAAAAGAAGCAGAACCUGCUGUUGAAUCUCCUAAAGAAGUGGCUGAUGAGAAAGCAAUAGUUGCACCAGCUCUGCCUCCUCCUGAACAAGUCAAAGAAAAAACCGAUGACUCUAAAGCACUAGUCGUGGUCGAAGAUAGUAUGAUUUCUCCUUAUCUUGUCUCUGUUCUCAUAUAUUUUAGUAAUUAUUACUAUACUAUAUGUUUGGGUAUAUAUACUCUGUGUUAUCUGCAGUCUUUAGCUGAAUUUUAUGUUACUCUGUGAAUAAUAUUUGUCCUUUUGUAGAAAAGUUAGUUUUGUUAGUUUUCCUUCCUACGGACUCUGUAGUAUAAACAUGUCAGCAGUAGUGUAAAAAAGGAAAAAUAAUUGCUUGUUGAAGCAAUUGAUGAACAAUUGAAUAGUACGUUUUAUCACCCAUGUUGAAGAAAGAUCCUGAAAAUUUUCUCAGUCAGGCUUGAUUUGUGGCUUUGUCCUCUCUAUUUCCUUAGGCCUAGUCAAAAUUUUGACCAAUUUCACUUCUAUUUCAGUCCUUAGCUUAGACUGCUCUAUCAAUAUUUUUAAACCUUUUUUAUGGUCUCUCUAACUUUGUGCAACUUGUGUCGUUCGCAGAAGCAGCAGAACCUGCUGAGGAGAAAAAGGAGGGAUCUAUUGACAGAGGUAAUUUGGACUUUUCUUUUGCUUUCAGUUGUUUUUGGAUCAUUUACUGUCUAAGGGUAUUUGAGUAAUUUGGU